GCCUGCGUGGCAUGUCACCAAGCCAUGUGGGUGAAGGAGGUGGUGCAUCCUCUUAGAUCGGUCCCCACACAGAACGCCCCAUCCCGAGAACUCUCUGACACCACGACCUUGCUGGGCUGGUGGUGAGAAGAGCCCUCCCCGUCACAUCCUUCUACACAGCAGAUGUCUCAAUGCUCACCACAUGCUGCCCUCAAGAUCAAUGUGUGCAGGAGAGGCCAAGAAAGAAGAGCAGCAGUUGGCAAUGUGACCCCUAUAGUGAGGCCCUGGUCUGGUCUAGUCUGGGACUCAUAGGGUAGUGGAGGGAAUUAAUUGUGACUAAAUCAAACCUCAUUCAAAAUGUUAAAAAUUCUCAGGUGUGAUGAAUAUUCAUCCUGGUGCGAUUGAAGAGGAAAUGAUCAGAAUAUUGAUGUAACAACGUGUAUCCUUUUUCCCAGAGCACAGCACAUCGAACCUCAAUAAUCAUUAGCACUCCACUGCAUGUUUUAGUGAUCAAAAAAUAUAAAUCUAUAAUAAUGCUGCUUAGCACUAUGUUUCAGUGAUUGCAAAAUACAAAUCAAUGUAAAAUGCUGCUGAUCACUAUUACGAUUCUCAAUGAAAUAAAAAUUCCCGGUAAGUAAAAAACAUACUAUCCGGAUACAUCACAGUUCAGUCUGGGAAGAAUCAAAUUGCAGAGACUUGUGGAUGUAGCCCAGUUCAUCACACAGACCAGGCUCCCCACAUCAACUCCAUGUACACUUUUCACUGCCUUGGGAAAGAAGCCAACAUAAUCAAGACUCUUUACCACCCCAGGUAUUCCCUCUCUCAUCAGGCAGAGGAUACAAAAACAUGAAAGAAUGUUCCACCAGAUUCAGGAACUGUUUUUUUCCUGGUGUUUUCAAAGUACUGAAAGCUGCUGCCAUAAGCUAAGAUGUAGUCCCAAUCUUCCAACCUACCUCAUUGCGGGCCUUGCACUUUUUCUCCAUGACUGUAAUGCUGCAAUGCUGUAACAAUAUAUUCUGCAUUUUCCUCUGUUGUACUUGUGUAUGGUGUGAUUGUACUCGUGUAUGGUAUGUUUUUACUGGAGAGGAAGAAAAAAAAGCUUUUCUCUGAAUCCCAGUACACAAGGCAAUAAUAAAGGCAAAGCCAAUGGAAGGUAAUUGCAGGGGAUCAGUUCUGUGUUAUUCACCAGUCAUCAGUGAGCCACUGCUGUGUCAUGGCCAUUCUAAGAAAUAAUUUUGAGUUCUAGAGAAAUUGAUGGCCAUAAUUAGCAGCAAUAAUAUUUCAAAUUGCCUCACAGCUCUCAGAGAUGAGUUAAGUUAAGUAUAAUUUAAAAGCAGGGAUUUCUCACCACUCAUUUGUAGAGCAGAAUGGUGGACCUCACCCUCACCUUGAGUCUGAUGUACAUCAGCCUCUCGCCUGAACCCAUUCCAGUUGUGUUUAUAGAACAGAGAGCAUGACUUCAUUGUUCUUUGGCAUCUAAGUCUGGUCCGUUUUGGUGGCAGAGUAGAGAUUCUAUACUCGCUAACUGGCUUAAGCUAUUAAAGAGCAAAGCACUAAGUGUUGGAGGAACUCAGCAGGCCAAGCAGCAUCUGUGGAGGUAAUGGACAAAAGACUUUUCAGCACCGGGCCUCUACUCACUGGAGGCUAGAAGGGGCCUCAUUGAAACUUACAGAAUAAUGAAAGGCAUAGAUAGAGUGGAUAUGGAAAGGAUGUUUCCACUGGUGGGAGAGUCUAGGACCAGAGGUAAUAACCUCAGAAUUAAAGGGCACUCGUUUAGAAAGGAAGUAAAGAGGAACUUCUUUAGUCAGAGGGUAGUUAAUCUGUGGAACUCAUUGCCACAGAGGGCUGCGGAGGCCAAGUCAGUAGAUAUUUUUAAUGCAGAAAUAGACAAAUUCUUGAUUAGAACGAGUGUCAAGGGUUAGGGGAGAAAGCAGGAAAAUUGGAAUUGGAGGCAGAGAUCAGCCAUGAUUGAAUGGCGGAGUAGACUCGAUGGGCCGAAUGCCCUAAUUCUAUAACUUGUGAAAUUCUAUUAUGCUGUUACUACUUCCUCGGGGAUCUCUGACCACCAGAUUUUGUGUCUGGCAUUUUGUAUGAAUCUUAUUUAUAUUUAAACUGACCAUCUCUAACUUUAUCUGCCAAAUUUGUAGGGUAUGCAGAAUACAAAUAUCCUAACUCUACUUAUGUGUUGAAUAACAAAUGUAUUGAAGAGGAUGUGGUGAAGCUUGUAGAGAGAAGGCUACGCUCUCUGCCAGAAAUUACUGCGCGGUUUGUUUCCUGCAACCAUGUGUGCUGAAAGCCUGCCAUAUAGCAACUGCAAAAUGUGGAAAAAGUAUUCAGCAAAAUCAACUCACAUUUGAUCCAAGUGUACUAUUUUUGAUACAGUCAUUAUAAUUAGAAACUCUGAAUAGAGGCACUUUAGUAUUUUUAUGAUUUGUUUUCAGAUAUGUGUAUCCAUCUUUUUAUCCAGAAUCGGCAUGCAGAUUAUUUGACAACCUUUCCACGAGUACAAGGAGAAACAGACACUGCUCUUCAGGGGAUGACAAAUGACCAGACUGGUUUAAGGCCAAGAAAAUGAAGUCAACCUUUAUCCAUAGUAAGCCACGCUGUGACAUUUGAUAUCUGCAGCUGACUGCUGUCUACCUUUCUUCGUUACAUCUCAAAGGGAAUGUGAGUACGUAAUCAGGAGGCCCAACUCUCAUCAAUCUUCCGAUGCUCAGAAUGGCAGGCUCUAUUUCUCACUGACUGGGCCAUAAGGUUAACGCCCUUGGAGACCACUGGAAUAUAAAAACAACAGAUUAGAAAAAGGUCAUUUUACAUCGGGGGGCAUCCAGUUCUUGGCCAGGCUGAUGGGAAAGUGUCAUUCCUUGUAUAAAGGCGGAGCGUGAAUUGCGCUUGGGAAAUUAACAAUGGUUGUUUAGAAUCAAGGGUGGCUUUCACCAGCAGCAGCUCGUACACAGAAAAACACUCGAUGGAUCAUAAACAUCAUGGAAUUCCAAAUACUCAGUCAGACAUUGCACGUAAUGACAUUUCAAUGGCACCCGACAUUUUAACUAUAACAGAAUUAAAACACGAUGCCUCUUAUCAAUGUUGCUACAUUCACUUUGAUGGCAAGACCUGGUUAACACAACCCUUGAGAGUCAGGUAGCUUUAAUGAACAAUAUUCCACUCUAGGCUGGCAUAACAUAAUUUGGUUCAGAGGCCAACCAGUUGGCAGGGAGUUCCAGAGGAUUGAGAACCUGGCUGGGGCAUCCAUGGCGCAUGUCAUUCUCAUCAAAUUCCUUAUCGUUCUCAAGCUCCGUCUGGCCUGGUAAGAGUAACUCGGAUUGAACCCAAGUACUGCAGUAACCCAGCGGGUUUAUGGCAGCAUCUUUGGAUGGCAACAUCUUUGGACUUCAGGGGCUGGACAGGCUAGAUGCAGGAAGAUUGUUCCCGAUGUUGGGGAAGUCCAGAACACGGGGUCACAGUUUAAGGAUAAGGGGGAAAUCUUUUAGGACCGAGAUGAGAAAAACAUUUUUCACACAGAGAGUGGUGAAUCUGUGGAAUUCUCUGCCACAGAAGGUAGUUGUGGCCAGCUCAUUGGCUAUAUUUAAGAGGGUGUUAGAUGUGGCCCUUGUGGCUAAAGGGAUCAGGGGUUAUGGAGAGAAAGCAGGUACAGGAUACUGAGUUGGAUGAUCAGCCAUGAUCAUAUUGAAUGGCGGUGCAGGCUCGAAGGGCUGAAUGGCUUACCCCUGCACCUAUUUUCUAUGUUUCUAUGUUUCCAUGUUUGGAGGACAUGGAUAGGUGACCUUUCAGGUUGGGAACCUUCUUCAGAAUCAGAAUUGUGAAGUCUCACCUAUCCAUGUCCUCCAGGGAUGCUGAAUGACUCGCUGAGUUUCUCCAGCAUUUUGUGUUCUACUCGAGCUUCCAGAAUCUGCAGUUCUUUGUGUCUCCAAGAGUAACCUCGAUUUAGUUUCUCAGCACCUUGAUGCUUUGGAUGCCAUAUUCACCAAGUAAAUCUUCAUGCUCUAUGUGGAAGGGCCUGAAGAAUGCAUUAACGUCCAAAGCCCAGCAAACAUUGAGUGAUGUUAAUUGAUGAGGUUCCUGCCUGGUGUGG
This is a long non-coding RNA of Leucoraja erinaceus (little skate), 4072 nucleotides long. RefSeq lists it as uncharacterized. The record is from RefSeq and is a predicted model, not a curated record. Lineage: Eukaryota; Metazoa; Chordata; Chondrichthyes; Rajiformes; Rajidae. The transcript is spliced from 3 exons.